UCUCUGGUAGUAUAGUGGUGAGUAUCCGCGCCUGUCACGUGCGAGACCGGGGUUCGAUUCCCCGCCAGAGAG
Molecule: non-coding RNA, 72 nt
Organism: Strongyloides stercoralis
Lineage: Eukaryota; Metazoa; Nematoda; Chromadorea; Rhabditida; Strongyloididae
Source: Rfam